GUUCCCUGCGCAUUUUCAACAACAGAAGUAAAGAAUCACAGCAACAACGCACGCAGCAGAGUCUCUCUCUCCGGUGCAGUACAGAGAGGCAGUGCGGUGCUGUAGGGCACAAAGUGAAAAAGAGGGGGCGCAUCGGAUGCCGAUUGAAAGCUCCGCUCCUUUCCCCCCUCCUCCUCCUCCUCAUCAUCAUCAACAUUCUCUCCGCCUUCCUUUCUAACCCCUGAAACUGCUUCUAGCCGUAACACUAAUCUCUCUUCCCCUCCUUGCCGCCUCUUCCGUCUCCGCCGAUGGCUGCGCCGCGCGCGCGGGAGCCGCCGCCGCCACCCGUCAUCGGGAAGGCCGGGAGGCUGACUGUCUUCAUCACCCCGCCGCCGACGCCGAAGCCCUUCCCCAGCCCUAGGCCGAGCCCCGGAAAGGCGAGUCGCUCGCCGGCGCCUCCGCCGUCUCCGACGCCGCGUCCGCCGCCGGUUCAGGUGCCGCCGCCGCGGUUCGAGAAGGCGGCACCGAGGUCGCCGGGAUCGGCGUUAGCGCUCUUGCAGGGCGCGGUCGCGAGAGUCCAAGAAGUGCAUUCGAGCUUGGAUGAGUACUUAGCGAAUUUGUUUGGGUUGAACCAGUCAAAGUAUCAGUGGGCAUUGAAUGACUACUACGAGAACCAAGGAAAGGACUAUGAAGGAAGCAAAUGUAGUAAACCUAAGGGAACUUACUAGCAAGGGGGAGACCAUAUUAAUAUGUCAAUAAUACUAUGGUUGCUUCUGCGCGCUCUCUCUCGCCCUCUCUUUUGAGCUCAGUUUAUCGACGGAAUGUAUGUUUGUUCAGCAGUACAAGUUAUUCCUGUAAUUGUUGUGCAAUACAAGGGGGGAGUGCAGUUAAUAGAUUUUGUGCGCUUCUAGUGAGGGCAAAAAGGAAAAAAAUAAUAAUACAGCAUUGUAAGUGUGCAAACGAGAUCAUCAACAAUGACACAAGGGAACCUACACAGUUACAAUGACAAGAUCAACGGGAACGAUAAACUACCCGUGACAAUGAUGGCAAGAACAAUGAGGGAGAGCAUGUCAUGCCCUAGCAACCUUGUCUAUUUAAUAAGGUCCAGUACUCUACAGAGCAAACGCUGGGAAGAAAUACAGAGCAGAUGCUGGGGAGAAAAUGGCGUGAGCUACGACGGCAUCACCGUGACGGAAAAUGUUGGUAAUAGUGAUUAGCAAUGAAGCUUACACAUAUGUAUAUAUAUAUUUAUUCUGUUGCAGUGCUUAGAAUUAGAACGUGCUUUCUUACAUAUUCAGUUUCCAUACCACACUUUGUUAUUUUUUUUAUUUCAUAGCUUCAUCUGCGAACGAGAUACAGGAUUGUAAAAAGAGAGCCUAUUUUUUCUGGACCGAGUAAAGAUCAGCCCUUUUAUAAUUC
RNA transcript from Ananas comosus (pineapple), 1398 nucleotides. It is a transcript of the gene named formin-like protein 20, with no coding region annotated. The transcript has 4 exons. The record is from RefSeq and is a predicted model, not a curated record. Lineage: Eukaryota; Viridiplantae; Streptophyta; Magnoliopsida; Poales; Bromeliaceae.